RNAcentral lists this unclassified non-coding RNA (1561 nucleotides) under Hevea brasiliensis (rubber tree). The record is from RNAcentral. Lineage: Eukaryota; Viridiplantae; Streptophyta; Magnoliopsida; Malpighiales; Euphorbiaceae.
UCAAACUAGGGGUCGUUGGAAUUGUGGUUGGCAUCUUUGUAGCAUCUGUGAGAAGAAUGCCUACUAUAUGUGUUAUACAUGCACGUUCUCCUUGUGCAAGGGCUGUGUCAAAGAUGCUGUCAUCCUAUGUGUUAGAGGUAACAAAGGUUUCUGUCAGGCAUGCAUGAGAACUGUCAUGUUGAUUGAAAGGAAUGAGCAGGGAAACAACGAAGUGGCCCAAAUAAAUUUUGAUGACAGAAGUAGCUGGGAGUAUCUCUUCAAGGAUUACUGGAUUGAUUUAAAAGGGAGGCUAUCUAUAACUUCAGACGAACUUUCUCAAGCUAAAAAUCCAUGGAAAGGAUCCGAGUUACAUGCUGGGAAGCGGGAAUCCAUGGAUGAACCUUAUGAUUCUCAUAAUGAUGCAGGAUCAGGAUCAGACAGUUCUGGAAAUCCAGAAGUAACUACUUCUAAAAGAAGAAAGGCCAAAAAGCGGUUGAAAUCUCAUGCUAAGGAGAAGGAUUCACUGAUUACGACAACAGUAAAUGAUGCUGAAGAGGCAUCCCCUGAUGGAAGUGUGCAGUGGGCAUCAAAAGAGCUUUUGGAAUUUGUUAUGCAUAUGAAGAAUGGUGAUAAAUCUGUGUGUUCUCAAUUUGAUGUGCAAGCUCUUCUUCUGGAAUAUAUAAAAAGGAAUAAACUUCGUGAUCCUCGUCGUAAAAGUCAAAUAAUUUGUGAUUCAAGGCUUGAGAAACUGUUUGGGAAGCCACGUGUGGGGCAUUUUGAAAUGUUAAAACUUCUGGAAACUCACUUUCUUUUAAAAGAGGAUUCUCAGGCAGAUGAUCUUCAAGGGAGCGUUGUUGAUACUGAAACUAAUCAGUUGGAGGCUGAUGGAAACUCUGAUGUUCUAAUGAAGACUAGUAAGGACAAGAGACGUAGGUCACGUAAAAAGGGUUAUGGAANNNNNNNNNNNNNGAGGAUUGCAAUCUAAUCUUGAUGAUUAUGCAGCCAUUGAUACACACAACAUCAAUUUAAUCUACUUACGGCGGAGUUUGUUGGAGAAUCUAAUUGAGGAUGCUGAAACAUUUCAUGAUAAAGUUGUUGGUUCUUUUGUGAGAAUAAGGAUAUCUGGAAGUGCUCAAAAGCAAGAUUUAUAUAGGCUAGUCCAAGUUGUUGGUACAAACAAAGCUUCUGAACCCUAUAGAGUUGGCAAAAAGACAACUGAUUACCUGCUGGAAAUAUUAAAUUUAAACAAGACAGAGAUUGUUUCAAUUGACAUAAUCUCAAAUCAAGAAUUCACUGAGGAUGAAUGCAAGCGACUGCGACAGAGCAUAAAAUGUGGUCUUAUCAAUCGGUUGACUGUGGGUGACAUUCAGGAAAAGGCCAUGGCACUUCAGGCAGUCAGAGUUGAAGAUUCGUUGGAAUCAGAGGUAACACGUCUCAGUCAUCUUCGUGAUCGAGCCAGUGAUUUGGGCCGGAAGAAGGAGCUUAGAGAAUGCGUAGAGAAAUUGCAACUUCUGAAGUUGCCUGAGGAGCACCAGCGCAGAUUGGAAGAAAUACCAGAAAUUCAUGCUGACCCAAAUAUGGA